CGGAGGAAAAGAAACCAACAGGGAUUGCCUUAGUAGCGGCGAGUGAAGCGGCAAAAGCUCAAAUUUGAAAUCUGGCACUUUCAGUGUCCGAGUUGUAAUUUGAAGAAGGUAUCUUUGGGUCUGGCUCUUGUCUAUGUUUCUUGGAACAGAACGUCACAGAGGGUGAGAAUCCCGUGCGAUGAGAUGUCCCAGACCUAUGUAAAGUUCCUUCGAAGAGUCGAGUUGUUUGGGAAUGCAGCUCUAAGUGGGUGGUAAAUUCCAUCUAAAGCUAAAUAUUGGCGAGAGACCGAUAGCGAACAAGUACAGUGAUGGAAAGAUGAAAAGAACUUUGAAAAGAGAGUGAAAAAGUACGUGAAAUUGUUGAAAGGGAAGGGCUUGAGAUCAGACUUGGUAUUUUGUAUGUUACUCUCUCGGGGGUGGCCUCUACAGUUUACCGGGCCAGCAUCAGUUUGAGCGGUAGGAUAAGUGCAAAGAAAUGUGGCACUGCUUCGGUAGUGUGUUAUAGUCUUUGUCGAUACUGCCAGCUUAGACUGAGGACUGCGGCUUCGGCCUAGGAUGUGGCAUAAUGAUCUUAAGUCGCCCGUCUUGA
RNAcentral lists this ribosomal RNA (589 nucleotides) under Lodderomyces parapsilosis. RNAcentral's name for it is "Candida parapsilosis partial large subunit ribosomal RNA". It matches the Rfam family "Eukaryotic large subunit ribosomal RNA", at positions 51 to 657 of the family's 3401-position model. Lineage: Eukaryota; Fungi; Ascomycota; Pichiomycetes; Serinales; Debaryomycetaceae. The record is from RNAcentral.